UACGGGGGGGGCAAGCGUUGUUCGGAAUUACUGGGCGUAAAGGGCUCGUAGGUGGCCAACUAAGUCAGACGUGAAAUCCCCAGGCUUAACCUGGGAACUGCAUCCGAUACUGGAUGGCUUGAAUUCGGGAGAGGGAUGCAGAAUUCCAGGUGUAGCGGUGAAAUGCGUAGAUAUCUGGAGGAAUACCGGUGGCGAAGGCGGCAUCCUGGACCGACAUUGACGCUGAACGGCGAAAGCUAGGGGAGCAAACGGG
Molecule: ribosomal RNA, 253 nt
Filed under: uncultured bacterium
Lineage: Bacteria
Description: partial 16S ribosomal RNA
Rfam family: Bacterial small subunit ribosomal RNA
Source: RNAcentral